Molecule: ribosomal RNA, 440 nt
Filed under: uncultured bacterium
Lineage: Bacteria
Description: partial 16S ribosomal RNA
Rfam family: Bacterial small subunit ribosomal RNA
Source: RNAcentral
CCUACGGGCGGCAGCAGUGGGGAAUAUUGCACAAUGGGGGAAACCCUGAUGCAGCGACGCCGCGUGAGUGAAGAAGUAUUUCGGUAUGUAAAGCUCUAUCAGCAGGGAAGAUAAUGACGGUACCUGACUAAGAAGCCCCGGCUAACUACGUGCCAGCAGCCGCGGUAAUACGUAGGGGGCAAGCGUUAUCCGGAUUUACUGGGUGUAAAGGGUGCGUAGGUGGCAGGGCAAGUCAGAUGUGAAAGCCCGGGGCUCAACCCCGGUACUGCAUUUGAAACUGUCCAGCUGGAGUGCAGGAGAGGUAAGCGGAAUUCCUAGUGUAGCGGUGAAAUGCGUAGAUAUCAGGAGGAACACCGGCGGCGAAGGCGGCCUGCUGGACCGCGACUGACGUUGAGGCUCGAAAGCGUGGGGAGCGAACAGGAUUAGAUACCCUAGUAGUC